GACAGAGGGUGCAAACGUUGCUCGGAAUCACUGGGCGUAAAGGGCGUGUAGGCGGGACGGCAAGUCAGAUGUGAAAUCCCCAGGCUCAACCUGGGAACUGCAUUUGAAACUCCCUUUCUUGAGUACCGGAGAGGAAAGUGGAAUUCCUGGUGUAGAGGUGAAAUUCGUAGAUAUCAGGAGGAACACCGGUGGCGAAGGCGGAUCUCUGGGCCUUACCUGACGCUCAGGCGCGAAAGCUAGGGGAGCGAACAGG
RNAcentral lists this ribosomal RNA (253 nucleotides) under uncultured bacterium. RNAcentral describes it as "partial 16S ribosomal RNA". It matches the Rfam family "Bacterial small subunit ribosomal RNA", at positions 524 to 776 of the family's 1533-position model. The record is from RNAcentral.